CUCACUUUCUAAUUCUUGUAAAAAAUAGUAAAAUAAAUCCAAGACAUUAUCAGGGCAAUCACAAGCCAGAUCUUCUUCUUCUUCUCACUUUCUAAUUUUUUCUUCAAUUUGUCAACAUCUCUUGAAUUGUUCAUCAUAAAACUCUUCAUCAUGUCACAAUUAUUGCAGGCAGGAGCAACAUGAUCAAGAGCAACAGUAUCAGCAGAAACAGGACCAGCAGCAACCGUAGAGGGAUUUUGAUUACCAUUAUGCAAAUUUCGAUCAUCAUCCCAAACAAAAAGAAUUUCCUCUUAGGAUUUUUAGGAGUGUUAGCCAUCCACAUCCUCAUCACUUGUUUACAUCCACAUAACGGUGGUUUUACCCCAUUUGAUGUGCUGACAGAAGAUCUGUUUUUCACCAUUAUUUCUUCAAAUCUAAAAAUGCCAUCAAGAUGAAAAAAAUGAUGUGAAGAGGAAGAAGAGAAAGACGCGACAAGUUUCAUGUAGGAAGGUGGGAGAUGAAGGCGAAUACAUGAAGAAGAUGAACUCAAACGCAACGUAAGAGAGCGACAAGUUUCAAAUUUUGGGGCCUAUAAUUAAUUAAGUUUAGUUUUCAGUUUGAAAUUUUGUAUUUUUAUAAAUGUUUAACUUGACACAUCAUGAUGUUACAUUAGCUUAUUUGGAUGGAUAAACCUGGCCAAAGAUCAAAAAAAAAAAAUAUAAGAAUUUCAAACGAGAAAGGUUGAAUAAAAAAAAUUUGAGACUAAAAUCAAAAUUUGUUCAAAUUACAGG
Molecule: long non-coding RNA, 770 nt
Organism: Cicer arietinum (chickpea)
Lineage: Eukaryota; Viridiplantae; Streptophyta; Magnoliopsida; Fabales; Fabaceae
Source: RefSeq, a predicted model, not a curated record